Molecule: transfer RNA, 72 nt
Filed under: Dehalococcoidia bacterium
Lineage: Bacteria; Bacillati; Chloroflexota; Dehalococcoidia
Description: tRNA-Ile
Rfam family: tRNA
About the family: Transfer RNA (tRNA) molecules are approximately 80 nucleotides in length. Their secondary structure includes four short double-helical elements and three loops (D, anti-codon, and T loops). Further hydrogen bonds mediate the characteristic L-shaped molecular structure. tRNAs have two regions of fundamental functional importance: the anti-codon, which is responsible for specific mRNA codon recognition, and the 3' end, to which the tRNAs corresponding amino acid is attached (by aminoacyl-tRNA synthetases). tRNAs cope with the degeneracy of the genetic code in two manners: having more than one tRNA (with a specific anti-codon) for a particular amino acid; and 'wobble' base-pairing, i.e. permitting non-standard base-pairing at the 3rd anti-codon position.
Source: RNAcentral
GGGCCGGUAGCUCAAAGGCUGAGCGGUCGGCUCAUAACCGACUGGGUGAAGGUUCGAGUCCUUCCCGGCCCA